Molecule: non-coding RNA, 23 nt
Filed under: Drosophila melanogaster (fruit fly)
Lineage: Eukaryota; Metazoa; Arthropoda; Insecta; Diptera; Drosophilidae
Source: RNAcentral
GAAGCUGGAGCUGAAACAACCGA